Molecule: transfer RNA, 81 nt
Filed under: Actinoplanes lobatus
Lineage: Bacteria; Bacillati; Actinomycetota; Actinomycetes; Micromonosporales; Micromonosporaceae
Description: tRNA-Arg
Source: RNAcentral
GGGCCGGCGGUCCGGCGGCUCGUCACCGGCGUCCUCCGGUGGCGGCGGCAGGAUCGCCCGGUUCGGCUCCGGCUCGGUCUC